AAAUCACCUCCUCCACCAGUAUAUAUUUAUGCAUCUCCGCCACCUCCAAUCCACUACUAAGUGUUUCUAAAAGCUCAGCCAUUCUUCAUAAUCAAUCAAGUGAGUAGCCGUUUGAAUUGUGUAUUUUUUUCCAAAUGAAUCAACUUUUGAUUUUAUUUUCUUUGAAUUAAGUUGUAAUCUUCUAUUUUAUUGUUUAUUUUCAGAUUUUAGUUAGAGGAGAAGAUUCAACGUCAAUGGCACAAAGCAAUUAAUAUAUGGAAUAAAAUAUACAACUUUUCAAUUGAAGGAAUGUUUCUUAUCGCACAUUGUUCUCUAGUGCAUUCACGUGGACAAGGCUACAAUAACUUUGAUUCUUCAUAUAUAGAGUUUGUUUUUUUCGCAAUUUAUUGUUGUAUUGAGGAUGUCCUCGUUUUUUUAUUCAUUUCUUAUUAGUUACUGCAAGUUGUUUCUUGUAAUACCUUGGUGUACAUUGUGCACAAAUCAAUAAGAAGAUCAAUUUCAUUA
RNAcentral lists this long non-coding RNA (504 nucleotides) under Nicotiana benthamiana. RNAcentral describes it as "long non-coding RNA (NBEN_LNC038891)". The record is from RNAcentral. Lineage: Eukaryota; Viridiplantae; Streptophyta; Magnoliopsida; Solanales; Solanaceae.